This is a non-coding RNA of Steccherinum ochraceum, 94 nucleotides long. The record is from the annotation of a GenBank genome assembly. Lineage: Eukaryota; Fungi; Basidiomycota; Agaricomycetes; Polyporales; Steccherinaceae.
GCCCGCCUAGCUCAAUCGGAUAGAGCGUCAGACUCUUAUCGAGUGCGGGUGAAUACCAAUCUGAAGGCUGCGAGUUCGACCCUCGCGGUGGGCU